Colossoma macropomum (tambaqui) is the source of this 651-nucleotide non-coding RNA. The record is from the annotation of a RefSeq genome assembly. NCBI's taxonomy places the organism in Eukaryota, Metazoa, Chordata, Actinopteri, Characiformes, Serrasalmidae.
AUGAGCUGGACUUCUCUGCUGCUGCUGCCCUUCUUACCAUAUGUUCAUGGAAUCAGUCUGAGCUCGUCUCCUGCUCAGUUGAAGCCUCCUGGAGGAUCAGUGAGGCUGUCCUGUGAGGUUUCUGGCUAUCUUCUCACUGACAUUGGUACAGUCUGGAUCAGACAGCCUCCAGGGAAAGCCUUGGAGUGGAUCAGGAUCAUUUGGGGUGGUGGAUCUAUAGACACUGGAGCUUCCUUUAAGAGUCGUUUUACAAUUUCCAGAGACACAAGCAGUAACGUGCUGUUCUUAGACAUCAGCAGCCUGGAGACUGGAGACACGGCUAUUUAUUACUGUGCAAAGACUGACACAGCAGUGCAGGAGCUCUGUACAAAACCCAUCAACAUCUCUGUUAGUGUUGAACUGGCUCAACCUGGUUUCAUGCUGGUCAGUCCAGGCCAGAGUUUGACCAUCAACUGCAAGGUUUGGUAUCCUGUUACAGUCAUACAUACAGCUUGGAUCCGACAUCCUGCAGGAAAAGCUCCAGAGUGGAUUGGAUAUAUUGAUACCAGUGGGGAUACAGCUUACAGUCGUAAACUAAGACACAAGUUCAGCAUCUCCAGAGACACUGGAACCAACACAAUAACAUUACAAGGACAGAAUCUGUUAGAAUGA